Molecule: unclassified non-coding RNA, 335 nt
Filed under: soil metagenome
Description: partial contains 5.8S ribosomal RNA, internal transcribed spacer 2, and large subunit ribosomal RNA
Rfam family: 5.8S ribosomal RNA (bases 1-120)
Source: RNAcentral
GAUGAAGAACGCAGCGAAAUGCGAUAAGUAAUGUGAAUUGCAGAAUUCAGUGAAUCAUCGAAUCUUUGAACGCACAUUGCGCCCAUUAGCAUUCUAGUGGGCAUGCCUGUUCGAGCGUCAUUUCAACCCUUAAGCCCUGUUGCUUAGCGUUGGGAGCCUACAGUACUAUAGCUCCCCAAAGUUAGUGGCGGAGUCGGUUUCACACUCUAGACGUAGUAAUUUUUUCUCGUCUGUAGUUGAGCCGGUCCCCUGCCGUAAAACACCCAAUUUAUCAAGGUUGACCUCGGAUCAGGUAGGAAUACCCGCUGAACUUAAGCAUAUCAAUAAGCGGAGGA